GAUGAACGCUGGCGGCGUGCCUAAUACAUGCAAGUCGAGCGAACGGACGAGAAGCUUGCUUCUCUGAUGUUAGCGGCGGACGGGUGAGUAACACGUGGAUAACCUACCUAUAAGACUGGGAUAACUUCGGGAAACCGGAGCUAAUACCGGAUAAUAUUUUGAACCGCAUGGUUCAAAAGUGAAAGACGGUCUUGCUGUCACUUAUAGAUGGAUCCGCGCUGCAUUAGCUAGUUGGUAAGGUAACGGCUUACCAAGGCAACGAUGCAUAGCCGACCUGAGAGGGAGAUCGGGCACACUGGAACUGAGACACGGUACAGACUCCUACGGGAGGCAGCAGUAGGGAAUCUUCCGCAAUGGGCGAAAGCCUGACGGAGCAACGCCGCGUGAGUGAUGAAGGUCUUCGGAUCGUAAAACUCUGUUAUUAGGGAAGAACAUAUGUGUAAGUAACUGUGCACAUCUUGACGGUACCUAAUCAGAAAGCCACGGCUAACUACGUG
This 497-nucleotide ribosomal RNA is filed under the name uncultured bacterium. RNAcentral describes it as "partial 16S ribosomal RNA". It matches the Rfam family "Bacterial small subunit ribosomal RNA", at positions 28 to 507 of the family's 1533-position model. The record is from RNAcentral.